RNAcentral lists this transfer RNA (73 nucleotides) under Nesotrochis steganinos (Haitian cave-rail). RNAcentral's name for it is "tRNA-Phe". The record is from RNAcentral. Lineage: Eukaryota; Metazoa; Chordata; Aves; Gruiformes; Rallidae.
GUCCUUGUAGCUUAAUCCACUUCAAAGCAUAACACUGAAGCUGUUAAGAUGRCCACCCAUAUAUCCAAGGACA